This 2411-nucleotide ribosomal RNA is filed under the name human gut metagenome. Its description in RNAcentral is "bacterial LSU rRNA". It matches the Rfam family "Bacterial large subunit ribosomal RNA", at positions 1 to 2438 of the family's 2925-position model. The record is from RNAcentral.
UUAAGCGACUAAGCGUACACGGUGGAUGCCCUGGCAGUCAGAGGCGAUGAAGGACGUGCUAAUCUGCGAUAAGCGUCGGUAAGGUGAUAUGAACCGUUAUAACCGGCGAUUUCCGAAUGGGGAAACCCAGUGUGAUUCGUCACACUAUCAUUAACUGAAUCCAUAGGUUAAUGAGGCGAACCGGGGGAACUGAAACAUCUAAGUACCCCGAGGAAAAGAAAUCAACCGAGAUUCCCCCAGUAGCGGCGAGCGAACGGGGAGCAGCCCAGAGCCUGAAUCAGUGUGUGUGUUAGUGGAAGCGUCUGGAAAGGCGCGCGAUACAGGGUGACAGCCCCGUACACAAAAAUGCACAUGCUGUGAGCUCGAUGAGUAGGGCGGGACACGUGGUAUCCUGUCUGAAUAUGGGGGGACCAUCCUCCAAGGCUAAAUACUCCUGACUGACCGAUAGUGAACCAGUACCGUGAGGGAAAGGCGAAAAGAACCCCGGCGAGGGGAGUGAAAAAGAACCUGAAACCGUGUACGUACAAGCAGUGGGAGCACGCUUCGGCGUGUGACUGCGUACCUUUUGUAUAAUGGGUCAGCGACUUAUAUUCUGUAGCAAGGUUAACCGAAUAGGGGAGCCGAAGGGAAACCGAGUCUUAACUGGGCGUUAAGUUGCAGGGUAUAGACCCGAAACCCGGUGAUCUAGCCAUGGGCAGGUUGAAGGUUGGGUAACACUAACUGGAGGACCGAACCGACUAAUGUUGAAAAAUUAGCGGAUGACUUGUGGCUGGGGGUGAAAGGCCAAUCAAACCGGGAGAUAGCUGGUUCUCCCCGAAAGCUAUUUAGGUAGCGCCUCGUGAAUUCAUCUCCGGGGGUAGAGCACUGUUUCGGCAAGGGGGUCAUCCCGACUUACCAACCCGAUGCAAACUGCGAAUACCGGAGAAUGUUAUCACGGGAGACACACGGCGGGUGCUAACGUCCGUCGUGAAGAGGGAAACAACCCAGACCGCCAGCUAAGGUCCCAAAGUCAUGGUUAAGUGGGAAACGAUGUGGGAAGGCCCAGACAGCCAGGAUGUUGGCUUAGAAGCAGCCAUCAUUUAAAGAAAGCGUAAUAGCUCACUGGUCGAGUCGGCCUGCGCGGAAGAUGUAACGGGGCUAAACCAUGCACCGAAGCUGCGGCAGCGACACUAUGUGUUGUUGGGUAGGGGAGCGUUCUGUAAGCCUGUGAAGGUGUACUGUGAGGUAUGCUGGAGGUAUCAGAAGUGCGAAUGCUGACAUAAGUAACGAUAAAGCGGGUGAAAAGCCCGCUCGCCGGAAGACCAAGGGUUCCUGUCCAACGUUAAUCGGGGCAGGGUGAGUCGACCCCUAAGGCGAGGCCGAAAGGCGUAGUCGAUGGGAAACAGGUUAAUAUUCCUGUACUUGGUGUUACUGCGAAGGGGGGACGGAGAAGGCUAUGUUGGCCGGGCGACGGUUGUCCCGGUUUAAGCGUGUAGGCUGGUUUUCCAGGCAAAUCCGGAAAAUCAAGGCUGAGGCGUGAUGACGAGGCACUACGGUGCUGAAGCAACAAAUGCCCUGCUUCCAGGAAAAGCCUCUAAGCAUCAGGUAACAUCAAAUCGUACCCCAAACCGACACAGGUGGUCAGGUAGAGAAUACCAAGGCGCUUGAGAGAACUCGGGUGAAGGAACUAGGCAAAAUGGUGCCGUAACUUCGGGAGAAGGCACGCUGAUAUGUAGGUGAAGCGACUUGCUCGUGGAGCUGAAAUCAGUCGAAGAUACCAGCUGGCUGCAACUGUUUAUUAAAAACACAGCACUGUGCAAACACGAAAGUGGACGUAUACGGUGUGACGCCUGCCCGGUGCCGGAAGGUUAAUUGAUGGGGUUAGCGGUAACGCGAAGCUCUUGAUCGAAGCCCCGGUAAACGGCGGCCGUAACUAUAACGGUCCUAAGGUAGCGAAAUUCCUUGUCGGGUAAGUUCCGACCUGCACGAAUGGCGUAAUGAUGGCCAGGCUGUCUCCACCCGAGACUCAGUGAAAUUGAACUCGCUGUGAAGAUGCAGUGUACCCGCGGCAAGACGGAAAGACCCCGUGAACCUUUACUAUAGCUUGACACUGAACAUUGAGCCUUGAUGUGUAGGAUAGGUGGGAGGCUUUGAAGUGUGGACGCCAGUCUGCAUGGAGCCGACCUUGAAAUACCACCCUUUAAUGUUUGAUGUUCUAACGUUGGCCCGUUAUCCGGGUUGCGGACAGUGUCUGGUGGGUAGUUUGACUGGGGCGGUCUCCUCCUAAAGAGUAACGGAGGAGCACGAAGGUUGGCUAAUCCUGGUCGGACAUCAGGAGGUUAGUGCAAUGGCAUAAGCCAGCUUGACUGCGAGCGUGACGGCGCGAGCAGGUGCGAAAGCAGGUCAUAGUGAUCCGGUGGUUCUGAAUGGAA